RNAcentral lists this ribosomal RNA (734 nucleotides) under Campylobacter jejuni. Its description in RNAcentral is "partial 23S ribosomal RNA". It matches the Rfam family "Bacterial large subunit ribosomal RNA", at positions 456 to 1188 of the family's 2925-position model. The record is from RNAcentral. Lineage: Bacteria; Pseudomonadati; Campylobacterota; Epsilonproteobacteria; Campylobacterales; Campylobacteraceae.
CGAUCCAACCCUAAAUACUAAUACCAGAUCGAUAGUGCACAAGUACCGUGAGGGAAAGGUGAAAAGAACUGAGGUGAUCAGAGUGAAAUAGAACCUGAAACCAUUUGCUUACAAUCAUUCAGAGCCCUAUGUAGCAAUACAGGGUGAUGGACUGCCUUUUGCAUAAUGAGCCUGCGAGUUGUGGUGUCUGGCAAGGUUAAGCAAACGCGAAGCCGUAGCGAAAGCGAGUCUGAAUAGGGCGCUUAGUCAGAUGCUGCAGACCCGAAACGAAGUGAUCUAUCCAUGAGCAAGUUGAAGCUAGUGUAAGAACUAGUGGAGGACUGAACCCAUAGGCGUUGAAAAGCCCCGGGAUGACUUGUGGAUAGGGGUGAAAGGCCAAUCAAACUUCGUGAUAGCUGGUUCUCUCCGAAAUAUAUUUAGGUAUAGCGUUGUGUCGUAAUAUAAGGGGGUAGAGCACUGAAUGGGCUAGGGCAUACACCAAUGUACCAAACCCUAUCAAACUCCGAAUACCUUAUAUGUAAUCACAGCAGUCAGGCGGCGAGUGAUAAAAUCCGUCGUCAAGAGGGAAACAACCCAGACUACCAGCUAAGGUCCCUAAAUCUUACUUAAGUGGAAAACGAUGUGAAGUUACUUAAACAACCAGGAGGUUGGCUUAGAAGCAGCCAUCCUUUAAAGAAAGCGUAAUAGCUCACUGGUCUAGUGAUUUUGCGCGGAAAAUAUAACGGGGCUAAAGU